Molecule: ribosomal RNA, 608 nt
Filed under: uncultured bacterium
Lineage: Bacteria
Description: bacterial SSU rRNA
Rfam family: Bacterial small subunit ribosomal RNA
Source: RNAcentral
GUAACACGUGGGAACGUGCCUUUUGGUUCGGAAUAACUCAGGGAAACUUGUGCUAAUACCGAAUGUGCCCUUCGGGGGAAAGAUUUAUCGCCAUUAGAGCGGCCCGCGUCUGAUUAGCUAGUUGGUGAGGUAAAGGCUCACCAAGGCGACGAUCAGUAGCUGGUCUGAGAGGAUGAUCAGCCACAUUGGGACUGAGACACGGCCCAAACUCCUACGGGAGGCAGCAGUGGGGAAUCUUGCGCAAUGGGCGAAAGCCUGACGCAGCCAUGCCGCGUGAAUGAUGAAGGUCUUAGGAUUGUAAAAUUCUUUCACCGGGGACGAUAAUGACGGUACCCGGAGAAGAAGCCCCGGCUAACUUCGUGCCAGCAGCCGCGGUAAUACGAAGGGGGCUAGCGUUGCUCGGAAUUACUGGGCGUAAAGGGAGCGUAGGCGGACAUUUAAGUCAGGGGUGAAAUCCCGGGGCUCAACCUCGGAAUUGCCUUUGAUACUGGGUGUCUUGAGUAUGAGAGAGGUAUGUGGAACUCCGAGUGUAGAGGUGAAAUUCGUAGAUAUUCGGAAGAACACCAGUGGCGAAGGCGACAUACUGGCUCAUUACUGACGCUGAGGCU